UCUGGACGGAUGCUGGAGACGAACCUAAAGUUGAGCGCAGUGAUCUUGCCGGUGGUAAUCGAAUAAAACUGGCCACUACCGACGUGGUCACUCCACGCGGAAUCACAGUGGAUUACGACACUGACCUAGUGUAUUGGGUGGAUUCCGAUCCGUCUGGCAACCGUGUCGAGGUCUGUGAUAUCCUUGGUGAAAACAGACGACAACUGUACCGUACACCUGCCUACGAGGGUUUCUUCGAUCUAACUAUCUUUACGAACUUUAUAUACGUUACUGGAGAAAAUACGAGCACCCUACACUUGUUGAAGAAGGACACUGGCCAGUUUGUUUUCAGCCUUAAUCUUCCAAACAGACCUUAUGGCAUCGUCACUUUCGCUCCCGAUACACAACCACCAGCAGUGUGUAAGUCAU
Strongylocentrotus purpuratus (purple sea urchin) is the source of this 408-nucleotide long non-coding RNA. RefSeq lists it as uncharacterized. The record is from RefSeq and is a predicted model, not a curated record. NCBI's taxonomy places the organism in Eukaryota, Metazoa, Echinodermata, Echinoidea, Camarodonta, Strongylocentrotidae. The transcript has 3 exons.